ACACGGUAGACGGUGACGACUACUAACGGCCUUCAGGAGUGACUAUGCGGGCAUGAGUAGCGAUAAACCGGGUGAGAAACCCGGUCGCCGUAAGUCCAAGGUUUCCUGGGGAAGGAUAAUCCUCCCAUGGGUUAGUCGAUUCCUAAGUCGAGGCCGAGAGGCGUAGGCGAUGGAAAGUAGGUUAAUAUUCCUACACCACCAAGGACGGCGUUGAUGUAAGCGGGGACGGAGAAGGAUAGCUCAGCAGGCUGCAUGGUUUGCCUGUUCAAGCCCGUAGGCUGAAUUGCUAGGACCCAAUAGGGACAAACGGCGAUUCAUUAAGGCCGAGAGGUGAUGAGGUCUAGCCCUAGGCUAGGACACUGAGUAAUUCCACGCUUCCUAGAAAAGCCGCGUACGGAGCCCCUUUGGUGAUCGUACUGCAAACCGACUCAGGUGGACGGGGUGAAUAUCCCAAGGCGCGUGAGAGAACCCUGGUUAAGGAACUCGGCAAAUUGACACCGUAACUUCGGGAGAAGGUGUGCCGCUGGCGGUUAGUGACUUCGCGUCACGAAGCUGUCGGUGGUCGCAGCGAAAUGGCGGUUGUGACUGUUUACUAAAAACACAGGACUCUGCGAAGUCGUAAGACGACGUAUAGGGUCUGAUGCCUGCCCGGUGCUGGAAGGUUAAGGGGAUAUGUCAGCGCAAGCGAAGCAUUGAACCGAAGCCCCAGUAAACGGCGGCCGUAACUAUAACGGUCCUAAGGUAGCGAAAUUCCUUGUCGGGUAAGUUCCGACCUGCACGAGGGCAUAACAACAUCCGCACUGUCUCGACCAGGGACUCAGCGAAAUUACAUUGGGGGUGAAGAUGCCCUCUACCCGCGGAAAGACGGAAAGACCCCAUGAACCUUUACUGCAACUUGGCAGUGAUUUUCGGGUUGUUCUGCGUAGGAUAGGUGGGAGGCUUUGAAGCCGGGCUUCCGGGUUCGGCAGAGCCAACGUUGAAAUACCACCCUGAAUAAUCUGGAAAUCUAACCUGCGCCCAUGAUCUGGGCGAGGGACACUGCCUGGUGGGCAGUUUGACUGGGGCGGUCGCCUCCUAAAUUGUAACGGAGGCGUGCGACGGUUCCCUCAGGCUGAUUGGAAACCAGCCGUAGAGUGCAAACGCAUAAGGGAGCUUUACUGCGAGACUGACAAGUCGAACAGUUGCGAAAGCAGGUGUUAGUGAUCCGGUGGUACCACAUGGAAGGGCCAUCGCUCAUCGGAUAAAAGGUACUCUGGGGAUAACAGGCUGAUCGCGCCUGAGAGUUCACAUCGGCGGCGCGGUUUGGCACCUCGAUGUCGGCUCAUCGCAUCCUGGGGCUGGAGCAGGUCCCAAGGGUUUGGCUGUUCGCCAAUUAAAGCGGUACGCGAGCUGGGUUUAAAACGUCGUGAGACAGUUUGGUCCCUAUCUUCCGUGGGCGCAGGACACUUGAGAGGAGCUAUCCAUAGUACGAGAGGACCUGGAUGGACGAACCUCUGGUGCUCCGGUUGUCACGCCAGUGGCAUAGCCGGGUAGCCAUGUUCGGAACAGGUAACCGCUGAAGGCAUAUAAGCGGGAAGCUGGCCUCAAGACUAGGUGUCCCUGACGCAAGACACUAAAGGUCCCUCGAAGACUACGAGGUUGAUAGGCUCGGUGUGGAAGCGCUGCGAGGCGUGGAGCUAACGAGUACUAAUAGGCCGUGCGACUUGA
RNAcentral lists this ribosomal RNA (1707 nucleotides) under metagenome. RNAcentral's name for it is "bacterial LSU rRNA". It matches the Rfam family "Bacterial large subunit ribosomal RNA", at positions 1251 to 2925 of the family's 2925-position model. The record is from RNAcentral.